This 431-nucleotide ribosomal RNA is filed under the name uncultured bacterium. Its description in RNAcentral is "partial 16S ribosomal RNA". It matches the Rfam family "Bacterial small subunit ribosomal RNA", at positions 29 to 507 of the family's 1533-position model. The record is from RNAcentral.
AGCGAACGCUGGCGGCAGGCUUAACACAUGCAAGUCGAGCGCCCCGCAAGGGGAGCGGCAGACGGGAGAGUAACACGUGGGAACAUACCUUUUGGUUCGGAACAACUGAGGGAAACUUCAGCUAAUACCGGAUAAGCCCUUACGGGGAAAGAUUUAUCGCCGAAAGAUUGGCCCGCGUCUGAUUAGCUAGUUGGUGAGGUAACGGCUCACCAAGGCGACGAUCAGUAGCUGGUCUGAGAGGAUGAUCAGCCUCGCUGGGACUGAGACACGGCCCAGACUCCUACGGGAGGCAGCAGUAGGGAAUAUUGGACAAUGGGGGCAACCCUGAUCCAGCCAUGCCGCGUGAGUGAUGAAGGCCUUAGGGUUGUAAAGCUCUUUUGCCCGGGAAGAUAAUGACGGUACCGGGAGAAUAAGCCCCGGCUAACUUCGUG